UGAUAAUGUUUUGCCUGCAUUUGUACUUCGUCUUUACCAACAAUCUUAAACUAUAGAUUUUCCGCUUCUUUGAUUUGUCUAUGUUCUUAUAAUUUCAAUUAUCAUUAUUAAUGUAUGCUGGCAUCCAGUGGGAUUGGAGACCUUCAUUUUGUUUCAGUAAAUUAGAUGCAUGGUACAUUCCCUUGUGAAACAGUUGAAUGUUGACUGAUUGAUUAUUCCUGGUGAUGAAUGGUGAGGAUGAGAUACGGCCUUUAGGAAGCACAAAAGCAUAUUAACAUGCUCAGGGAAAACAAUGCUGUAAACUGUGCUAGGGCUUAGCUGCUUGAGUCACAAUAUAUAUAGAACUUCAGCAGUUUGAUUUGGUUCUCAAUUCUCAAUUUGUGACCAAUAGUCCUCUAUAGCAGACUCUAAUUAUCUGGUGCAUGCUUAAUGCUUACACACGCAUGCAAAAAUAAGACUCAUUGAUUUUAUAUUGGUUGCUUUUCCUCAUUUAGUUUGUAAUACUGCUUAAGAUCCAAUUGUUA
This 524-nucleotide unclassified non-coding RNA is filed under the name Hevea brasiliensis (rubber tree). Lineage: Eukaryota; Viridiplantae; Streptophyta; Magnoliopsida; Malpighiales; Euphorbiaceae. The record is from RNAcentral.